GAGCAAUGAUGUCAGAGUGUGAUGAGAGUACAGCAAACUGGCAACGAUUUGUUUGAAGAGCACCACAUGCCCUCAACCAGGUGGCUUCUUCACAAGAACAAGACAAUGGAAAAAGAGAAUACUCCAGAACCCAGGGUCUCAGUGUAUGCCUUGCAUGUGAGAGGAAGAUGGCGUUUUGAAAUACUGGAUGCAAUAAACAAUGCACUGGAGUUAGUGGAUCAAGCUGGAAUUAGUGAGGUUGUUGCAGCUCUUCAGGGGUCUCAGUCUCAGAGCAAUGAUGUGCCAGCCACUAUUGUUGCAGCUGUUAAAGAGCUUCAGUCCAGCAAUGAUGAUGUGCCGACCAAUGCAGAUGAUGUUGCUGAUGGGAAUGGAAAAUGACUGCCAAU
This is a long non-coding RNA of Oreochromis aureus, 386 nucleotides long. The record is from Ensembl. Lineage: Eukaryota; Metazoa; Chordata; Actinopteri; Cichliformes; Cichlidae.